Molecule: ribosomal RNA, 696 nt
Filed under: Chlorella sp. LAM-H
Lineage: Eukaryota; Viridiplantae; Chlorophyta; Trebouxiophyceae; Chlorellales; Chlorellaceae
Description: eukaryotic LSU rRNA
Rfam family: 5.8S ribosomal RNA (bases 245-398)
Source: RNAcentral
UCCCUCUGUGUACCAAACGUCCCCCCUUGGGUGCGGGCUUCGGUCUGCCCCAAGGCGUCGGUUCCCUGGCUGGGGUCUUCGGACCGCAGUUAGGUCCGGCGGGCGCGCCCUCUGGCGUGUCGGCCCUCGUGGCUGCCGCCAGUUGGGUUCGCUGGAAAUUGUAUCCAACUCAACCCACCCCAAACCACAACUUAUACUGAAGCAAUCGGUGAGUGCACUCUGGUGCCUCGCUCUAACCAAAGACAACUCUCAACAACGGAUAUCUUGGCUCCCGUAUCGAUGAAGAACGCAGCGAAAUGCGAUACGUAGUGUGAAUUGCAGAAUUCCGUGAACCAUCGAAUCUUUGAACGCAAAUUGCGCCCAAGGCUUCGGCCGAGGGCAUGUCUGCCUCAGCGUCGGCUUACCCCCUCGCUCCCCCUCUCCUUUGGAGUGGGUGAACGGAUCUGGUUUUCCCGGCUACGUGCUUCUGCACGCCCGGGUUGACUGAAGUGUAGAGGCUUGAGCAUGGACCCCGUUUGUAGGGCAAUGGCUUGGUAGGUAGCUUAGCUACACCGCCUGCCGUGGUCCGAGGGGACUUUGCUGGCGGCCCAGCAGGAAUUCGGGUGUUGGGUUUCCCACCCCGAAAGCUUCAAACCUUCGACCUGAGCUCAGGCAAGACUACCCGCUGAACUUAAGCAUAUCAAUAAGUCGGAGGAA